RNAcentral lists this unclassified non-coding RNA (502 nucleotides) under Hevea brasiliensis (rubber tree). Lineage: Eukaryota; Viridiplantae; Streptophyta; Magnoliopsida; Malpighiales; Euphorbiaceae. The record is from RNAcentral.
GUCUUACUAUGAACAUUGUUCUUAUACUAUUGGUUAGGCUCAUGUAGAUUUGAUUUUUCAUUAGGUACUUGCAAUGUUGAUAUGCCUUAUCUGACAAAUGAUUAGCUUUAGAUUUUUUCUCUGAAAUAUGAAAUACUACUGGAAAUGUUGGAAAUCUAGUAUUUUAUCAUUUUGACUUGUGAGUUUUGGAUUAUACAUCUGCACAUUUUAUGUUUUAAUGGCUCUUAUACAAGGAACGAAAUAAGAAUGAGAAGGGAGAGAAUACAUAGAACUGUGUGUUUGGUUAUUAUAAAGUACAGUUAAAGCAUCUAUGUUUAGUUUUAAUUGUGUGUACCAUAAAGGGAAAUAAUAAAAAAAUGGGUCUUAAUUGAUGUAGUAAAAUCACUGCCUGAUUUCUUUUCUUUUCUUAUUUUUUUUAAGUUGUGUUGGGUUUGAUCAGCUACUAUGAACAACUCACAGAAAAUUCAAUUUGACCUAGAAAUAUAUGUUUUUUUUCUCUCUC